AUCUACGGCCAUGCCACCCUGAACAAGCCUGAUCCCGUCUGAUCUCGGAAGCUAAGCAGUGACGGGCCUGGUUGUUAGUACUUGGAUGGGAGAUCACCUAGGAAGACCAAGUGCUGUAGGCG
RNAcentral lists this ribosomal RNA (122 nucleotides) under Pteropus alecto (black flying fox). The record is from RNAcentral. Lineage: Eukaryota; Metazoa; Chordata; Mammalia; Chiroptera; Pteropodidae.